UCAGUGCCGCAGAUGCCUUUGCCAUCUCUUGGAUGCCCUGAUGAAGCCAACAACUGUGAGUACUAUUCAUUGCUCAGGAUAUCAGGAGGGAAGAGAUUCAGUGACAUGGGGCAAUAACGAAGCAGAUCAAGUGGCUCGAAAAAUGGUUAUGCAGGAGCCCAUCCUGGUUGCAGGUCUGCAAGAGACAGCCACUGAGAACUAGGAUUGGACUAAGGGAUGGCCUCACUUAGAAAAGGCCCAAAUUGCUUAAAAGAUAAAGGACAAUGGCACACUUGAGGGGAAAGCUAUACUCCCCAGAGAACAAAGAAAAGACUCACUUUGCCAAAUACAGAAAUGGACUCAUUUAGGAGAUAAAAAGUUUGUCCAAGUAGUUAAGUGUAUGUAAUAGACUUUAAGAUUUUAGCCAGAGAGGCAGUAGAAAGUAUAAGGUAUGUCAAUAAGUGAAUGCUUAGCAAGCAAACAGGGCAAAGAGACCUAGAGAGUUUGGUGAAAAGUCGAAGUGAACUUCACUGAGAUAAAACCAGAAAAAUAUAAUCACAAGUAUCUCCUAGUGCUUGUAGAUACUUUUUCAGGAAUAGAUAGAAGCUUUCCUCACCAAACAAGAGACGGCCUCUGCAAUCAUCAAGAAGAUACUGGAAGAAAUCUUCCUCCGAUUUGGAAUGCCCAAGGUAAUCUGGUCAGACAAUGGCCCUACUUUCGUUGCCAAGGUAAGCCAGGGUGUGGCCAAGUAUUUAGAGGUCGAUUGGAAAUUACAUUGUAUUUACAGACCUCAAAGUUCAGGACAGGUAGGGUAAAUAAAUAGAACUCUAAAAGAGACCCUGACCAAAUUAACCAUGGAGACUGGCACAGACUGGGUGACACUCCUUCCCUCUUGCUCUCUUCAGAGCAAGAAAUACCCCUUCCAGAUUCAGCCUUACCCCCUUUGAGAUCUUAUAUGGGGCCUCAGCCCCCCUGACUGUAUUAGAUGAUGUUACUGAACCAACAUGUCAUAGUGCCAUAGUAAUAAUGAUUUGUGUGCCAGGCUAAAAGACCUACAGGUGAUACAGAAAGAAAUCUGCUCACAGCUGACAGCAGCCUAUGCCCCGGAGACCCCUGAGACAUCCCAUCAGUUCCAGGUUGCAGCUACACUGAGUCCAGACACUCGAGCCUCGCUGGAAAGGA
This 1161-nucleotide long non-coding RNA is filed under the name Rattus norvegicus (Norway rat). Its description in RNAcentral is "long non-coding RNA NONRATT019724". Lineage: Eukaryota; Metazoa; Chordata; Mammalia; Rodentia; Muridae. The record is from RNAcentral.